UACGUAGGGAGCAAGCGUUGUCCGGAAUCAUUGGGCGUAAAGCGCGUGUAGGCGGUUACAUAAGUCUGUUGUGGAAAGUCGGAGGCUCAACCUUCGAAAGCCGAUGGAUACUGUGUGACUUGAGUACGGAAGAGGAGAGUGGAAUUCCUGGUGUAGCGGUGAAAUGCGCAGAUAAUCAGGAGGAACACCAACGGCGAAGGCAGCUCUCUGGGACGUUACUGGACGCUGAGACGCGAAAGCGUGGGGAGCAAACAGG
Molecule: ribosomal RNA, 256 nt
Filed under: uncultured bacterium
Lineage: Bacteria
Description: partial 16S ribosomal RNA
Rfam family: Bacterial small subunit ribosomal RNA
Source: RNAcentral